Molecule: ribosomal RNA, 1709 nt
Filed under: Burkholderia ambifaria
Lineage: Bacteria; Pseudomonadati; Pseudomonadota; Betaproteobacteria; Burkholderiales; Burkholderiaceae
Description: partial 23S ribosomal RNA
Rfam family: Bacterial large subunit ribosomal RNA
Source: RNAcentral
CGCAUGGUAGGAGAGCGUUCCGUAAGCCUGCGAAGGUGCGUUGAAAAGCGUGCUGGAGGUAUCGGAAGUGCGAAUGCUGACAUGAGUAGCGAUAAAGGGGGUGAAAGGCCCCCUCGCCGUAAGCCCAAGGUUUCCUACGCAACGUUCAUCGGCGUAGGGUGAGUCGGCCCCUAAGGCGAGGCAGAAAUGCGUAGCUGAUGGGAAGCAGGUCAAUAUUCCUGCACCAUUGUUAGAUGCGAUGGGGGGACGGAUCGCGGAAGGUUGUCCGGGUGUUGGAAGUCCCGGUCGCUGCAUUGGAGAAGGCACUUAGGCAAAUCCGGGUGCGUAAUUCAAGGGUGUGGCGCGAGCUCCUUAGGGAGCGAAGCAAUUGGAAGUGGUUCCAAGAAAAGCCUCUAAGCUUCAGUCUAACGAUGACCGUACCGCAAACCGACACAGGUGGGCGAGAUGAGUAUUCUAAGGCGCUUGAGAGAACUCGGGAGAAGGAACUCGGCAAAUUGGUACCGUAACUUCGGGAUAAGGUACGCCCUUGUAGCUUGAUGCGCCUGCGCGCAGAGGGUGAAGGGGUUGCAAUAAACUGGUGGCUGCGACUGUUUAAUAAAAACACAGCACUCUGCAAACACGAAAGUGGACGUAUAGGGUGUGACGCCUGCCCGGUGCCGGAAGAUUAAAUGAUGGGGUGCAAGCUCUUGAUUGAAGUCCCGGUAAACGGCGGCCGUAACUAUAACGGUCCUAAGGUAGCGAAAUUCCUUGUCGGGUAAGUUCCGACCUGCACGAAUGGCGUAACGAUGGCCACACUGUCUCCUCCCGAGACUCAGCGAAGUUGAAGUGUUUGUGAUGAUGCAAUCUACCCGCGGCUAGACGGAAAGACCCCAUGAACCUUUACUGUAGCUUUGCAUUGGACUUUGAACCGAUCUGUGUAGGAUAGGUGGGAGGCUAUGAAACCGGAACGCUAGUUUCGGUGGAGCCGUCCUUGAAAUACCACCCUGGUUUGUUUGAGGUUCUAACCUUGGCCCGUGAUCCGGGUCGGGGACAGUGCAUGGUAGGCAGUUUGACUGGGGCGGUCUCCUCCCAAAGCGUAACGGAGGAGUACGAAGGUACGCUAGGUACGGUCGGAAAUCGUGCUGAUAGUGCAAUGGCAUAAGCGUGCUUAACUGCGAGACCGACAAGUCGAGCAGGUGCGAAAGCAGGUCAUAGUGAUCCGGUGGUUCUGUAUGGAAGGGCCAUCGCUCAACGGAUAAAAGGUACUCUGGGGAUAACAGGCUGAUACCGCCCAAGAGUUCAUAUCGACGGCGGUGUUUGGCACCUCGAUGUCGGCUCAUCUCAUCCUGGGGCUGUAGCCGGUCCCAAGGGUAUGGCUGUUCGCCAUUUAAAGAGGUACGUGAGCUGGGUUUAAAACGUCGUGAGACAGUUUGGUCCCUAUCUGCCGUGGGCGUUGGAUAUUUGAAGGGGGCUGCUCCUAGUACGAGAGGACCGGAGUGGACGAACCUCUGGUGUACCGGUUGUCACGCCAGUGGCAUCGCCGGGUAGCUAUGUUCGGAAGAGAUAACCGCUGAAAGCAUCUAAGCGGGAAACUCGCCUUAAGAUGAGAUAUCCCUGGGGACUAGAUCCCCUUGAAGGGUCGUUCGAGACCAGGACGUUGAUAGGUCAGGUGUGUAAGCGCAGUAAUGCGUUCAGCUAACUGAUACUAAUUGCCCGUAAGGCUUGAUCCU